AGCGAGGCUAGAGUCACAUCUCGACAUGUGCGGUUGUCCCGUUGUGCUAUAGCUCUCGUAGAUUAAUCUCAUUCUCUCUGCUUAUUCAUUGGCUGCUGCUCUUCUCCAUCGCUCGGCCAAUCACCAGCUCAGAGACACUC
This is a small nucleolar RNA of Clarias gariepinus (North African catfish), 140 nucleotides long. RefSeq annotates it as small nucleolar RNA SNORA3/SNORA45 family. Lineage: Eukaryota; Metazoa; Chordata; Actinopteri; Siluriformes; Clariidae. The transcript has a single exon. The record is from RefSeq and is a predicted model, not a curated record.